Molecule: ribosomal RNA, 1149 nt
Filed under: Triticum aestivum (bread wheat)
Lineage: Eukaryota; Viridiplantae; Streptophyta; Magnoliopsida; Poales; Poaceae
Description: partial small subunit ribosomal RNA
Source: RNAcentral
AUGGCGCGGCGGACGGGGAGGAGCCGGCCGGAGCCGCGGUGGGCCGAGCCGCCGCCGGGCCUCUUCCCCGCCGGAAUCCACGACCUGCUCCGCCUGCUCGCCGUGCUCGCCAUCGCCGCCGCCGUCGCUGCCGCCUGCAGCGUCCUCAACCGCCGCCCCGCCCCCUUCUGCGACUCCGACGACCCCUAUUCCGCCGCCUACGAUUCGUGCGAGCCCUGCCCGGAGAACGGCCGGUGCGUCGACGGCGAGCUGCGGUGCGUCGAGGGGUUCAAGAGACGCGGCAGGGUGUGCGUGGAGGACGGCCUGCUCACCCACACCGCCAACAAGAUCUCAGAGUUGCUCCAGCACAGAAUCUGCGAUGAACACGCCCGUGUGCUGUGCGGCCAGCCCGGCAAGAUCCUGUUCCAACAACAUGACAUCUCAAGUAUGGCUGACGAGCUGUUAUCCAAGGAUGCCGCCCGCCUAAGCGACGAUAGAAUCAGAGUCGUAAAAGAGAGGGUGCUGCAGAGCGCACACGGCUUCUUGGAGACAACGUCGACUUAUGACAAAGUCCAAGCGUUUAAAUGUCCAGAGCUGGCCGCGGAGCUUCAUAGGCCACUGUCUUGUCAAGCUCGUCAAUGGAUCUCUAGCAAUAUCGUCUUCGUGAUCACCUCCUGUGUCUUGUCUGCAGCACUGCUCCGUAUUCUGUGGAGCAUUUACCAGAGACGGGCAUUGUCAAAGAGAGCCGAGCAAAUAUAUGAGCAGGUAUGUGAGAUCCUUGAAGAUAAUGCCAUAAGUGCUAAGAUUGGCAACUCUGAAUGCGAGCCUUGGGUGGUCACCUCCUGGUUGCGUGAUCAUCUACUGUCUACCCGAGAGAGACGGAACACUUUGUUGUGGAAGAAGGUGGAAGAGUUGCUACUGGAAGAUUCUCGCAUAGACCAGUAUCCAAAAGUGAUCAAGGGAGAGGCCAAAGUUGUCUUAGAGUGGCAAGCCAGCGGGUCGCUGAGCGGCAAGAUUAAGAAGAUGCAAGGCGCAGCAGGGAAGGCAAGGAGCGGCAGCGUCGGCGCCAUCAAACUUGCUGAAGAAAUAUGUGGCAGCAGCAUCAGCAGCAGCAGAGACAAGGAGCAUUGUUCUUCAACUAGCAAAGGAGCAACUAAUCCUUUCAUGUAA